RNAcentral lists this transfer RNA (92 nucleotides) under Araneus ventricosus. Its description in RNAcentral is "tRNA-Ile". The record is from RNAcentral. Lineage: Eukaryota; Metazoa; Arthropoda; Arachnida; Araneae; Araneidae.
UCCCCAGUGGCGCAGCUGAAUAGCGCGCUGUACUUAUACAGCAGUAUCUCGGAGUAUUGCCGAGGCUGUGAGUUCGAGCCUCACCUGGGGAA